Molecule: ribosomal RNA, 3996 nt
Filed under: Triticum aestivum (bread wheat)
Lineage: Eukaryota; Viridiplantae; Streptophyta; Magnoliopsida; Poales; Poaceae
Description: partial small subunit ribosomal RNA
Source: RNAcentral
GAGCUCAGUAGGUCGGGUACGCCUCUCCCACGCACGCCCCUAUGUCUCUCUCCUACGCACACCAAAGACACCUAGGUCCGCUCCGCCGCUCCCUAAGUCCGCUAGUCGCCCUACUCCCAGGUCGGCUCCGCGUACUGCCCUAGGUCUGCCUCGCUCCGCGGGCUCCCCUAGCUCGCCUGCGCGCCCUCGCCUACUUAGGCCCCGCCAGCUAGGUCGGGUGCGCCCGUUAGGCGGAUGCUCGAGAACGACUAACUACGUCGAGACGAGGGCGGCUACGUCCGAGGCGUCUGACGUCGGCUAGACUAACGGCGGAACUCGCCGUUUCGGGUGGCGUUGAACGGUCGAGAGGGCCGCCGCCACCAUAUAUUGGUCGGAUUCUACAUGCUGCACGAAUACGGGAGAAAGGUACGCUAAGCAAGGGGGUUGUCCGUAUAGUUGAGGUCUUCUACACGUGUUGCUUCAAUUCGGCCCAUACGUUCUUCCUUCUACAAAGUAGUACAACUGGUGAUAUCUAAACUUCAGGUCAAGACCUCGUGAACUUGUACGCUCCAACCGUUGAGGGACUAACGCAAGCAAGACGGUGUUUUAAUACCAGAGCUUGUUAAAACUCAAAGAGGAACGGAUGAAAAACUCUGUAACUGGAAAUAACUUCCAUGGUACGAGAAAAGUCCUAGAAACCUAGAACCUCUGUAUAUGUCCAGUAUAACUGAUGCAUAAAGGAAUGUUAAUGUUUACAUGGUAUGAACAACAUUCUACUUGAAGACCUGUUAUACCGUGUAUAUACUUAAUACUUCCAAAAAAACUUUCUAUACCGUUAUUUAUUACUAACGGAUUGAACAACAGGUGUAUUAAAUACAGUGAAGUAUGGAUUGGUCUGGUAAAUAAAGAUUCUAUUCUUUAGACACUGAUUAGGUUGGUGAUGUCUAAAGAAUAACAGCUCCAACCAGGACCUGGUUAAGUAAUGAGGCACUCGUUAAGUAAUGUGGUAAAUAACGUACGAAUUUUAAAGUUACUCUCCGAUUUAUUCAGCACAUAGUUUAUGAAGACAAAAGUCUAUAACAUCUUGUGAAGAAUACAUGUCAGACAAAAUUGUUCAGGCAGGUCGAGAUCGGAACAUUUUCAUCCGGUUUUAGUAUAAAGAUUCUGAAGAUUCCCUACCGUAAAAUCAAGUACAAAGUAUACGAAAAUCUAUUAAAAGUUGACGCACGUAAUACAUAAUUCACCAUGACGUAUUUGACCAAGUACAACAUAGACUUUCUCAAGACAUAUUCGGAUUAUUGAAAACGACAAACCAAAAGAUCCACGAAAGCAAUAUACGUGUGAAGGAAAGUACCAGGUUAGAACCUAUAAUGAACUCAUAGAAUCACAGUACACCUUCUUACAGGUUGAAUCCCCGUCGGUACACCUUCCUACAGGUUGAAUCCGCGUCAGUCCACUUAUCACUUGUACGACUAACAGUUAAUAUGUUUAGUUGGGUUUGAGGUUAUUUGAUGAGGUAGGGUUUAAUGAACAGAAUCUAAACAGAUCUAUGUUUAGAUGCUGUACAUUAAACCCUGCCUCCAACAUAAAUUAAUCACUAUAUAUAAACGGUGUUAAAUAAAACCCUGAUAUCAAAACCUUGAAGGCUGGUAAGAUAGUAGUUUUAACUGCUUGCCUCGUUGCGCGCAGUAGUUGCUAGAUCAAAAUAACUUUUGACCAGCCUGAACUCACUUUAGGUUUACAGUUAAAACCUCUUUGCGGGCCCUGGGUAGGGUCGGGCCGCACCGGGUCGUUGGACUGAUCGGAGGUUGCGACGGGCAAGGCCGAGGGGUGAGAGGCCAAGGUCAAGGUAGGGGUAGUCGACGUGAGCUUUGCUGCCGUCUUGGGGAUUUAAGGGGUAGGGUCUACGGGUCGUGAGAGGCGGACAGGUUAGAGGUGUGUACUCCUUCUUCUUCCGCCGCCGCUGCCGCGGACAUGGGCGCCGACGGUUCUGCUCUCGCCACCGUCGCCGGCAUCGGCUCCGGUUCUUCUUCCGCUGCCGCCGUCUACAACGGUUCUUCUUCUUCUGCCACGGGCGUCGGUUCUUCUUCUUCCGCUGCCGCCGUGGACGUCGGUUCUUCGCGCGUAGGCCACCUUGCCUGCCCACGUCCGGUGCCUUUGCCCGUGCCCUACUGUUGACGCUGCCGCUAGAGUAGUCGUUGGAAGGCCUCCGGCAGGAGACGUGGUAGUAGAGGGAGGAGGGGUGGUUCCUGCCGCGAGCGUGCGUCCGGUAGCGGGCGGCUACCGCGGGGGAGACCGCGAGGCGCGGAGAGUUGUAGCUGCGGGUCUUAGAGUCCUGGCCGGCGUCAAACGGGGAAGCGACAUUUUUCUUCUUGGAGUCGUGGUUAUUAAAAGUCGGCAGCACGGCGACGGCUCCCGGAGCUGGUGGCUGCCUGAGGUAGCAAAGGUCCUAGGAGAGGCUGGUGGAACCGGGGCGAGCGACGAAGCUGAAGGCGAAUUGGACGUAGACGGGCUUUUUUCUUCCCGUGCGGGUCUUUUAACGAGUCUAACUCUCGACCAAGGUGAGAGCUUCGGGCGUGUUGGAAGUCCUCGAUGUAUAGAAGAAGGGCUAGAACACAGCUCGUCGAGCUAUGAGGAACGGUAGUAGGCACGAGGCGAAGCGUAGCUGACAGCAACACCGAUGUUAGCCGGUGACGCUACAGGGUUUUCUCUAGCGAGGAAAUGACUUAAAGGGGGAGGAGUUCGUAGAGUGGGAUGCCUCGCAAAGGUACAGUCUCCUACAGAAGGGAGCCCGCUAGAGGAGGACGGUACACAACCUCUGGGAUAUAGACGUCCCUUUACGAAUAUCACCAGGGAGGUGUAAUCGAGCGGUUGAGAAUCCUCGUAGCGGAAGUCAGUAACAAUACAACCGUUUGUUCUUAACCAAUAACUCCUGUGGGGAGCGGAAGUUUCCGACGAAACAGGUACGAGUCUAUCAAACUUAUAGGCCCAUUUAUUCCGUCGUGGAUUUGACCUCUAUAAACCGGGAAACAGUGGGGCGUGGAGGUUAUAAGUCUAACGUUUCGAUUAGAAAGUCCCCAACCAAGGUUGGUCGAACUUGUCAAGCUAUACGUGUCACUUCCAAAACCGAGAGGUCAAACGAACGUGACUAAACUUACGUCAAGAACUGCAGGAGUCCAAAAAGGGGACGAACCUUUAUGAAAUACAAUACACCUUGUUUAUGAACUUUCGUCUCUACUUGUUACACGCAGUAACACUAGGUUAUUGAGGUUAGUUUACGGAACUCUGGGUAGAUUUUUUUGAUCACAACUUCUUAAUGUGUCCGCUGCUCGUUCUACAAUCGAAACGGUUCAAGAAACAAGACUUACGCUUUCACGAUGUACUCUAGUUUAAACCGCAAUCACUCUUCAAGCUGUUCUUUACCCACCGACUAGUGGUGUCCAACGAUCCUCACCUUUCACUUCGAAGAGGUCUCAAGCUCAAAUUUGUAACAAGCAUGACAAACCUAGAGAUAAAUCUAGGGGUACUGAACAGUUAACGGCUAGGGAAGUUGUUGAGAAAAGAUCGACUUCUGGUAUGAGAAGGUCACUAUAGUUAUAGUACAGGAAGGUCAAGACUGCUCCUAUCAUUGACUUCUAGCACAACAGAAAACGAACAAAAAUACCACGACUAUGGACUUAUAAUACAACGGACGUCAAGUUACGAACAAAGAGACAAACAUCAAAUUAACAGGAAACAUUAAGGGUCGUACCAUACAAUACGUUGAUCAAGUGACAGUUUUCAACAUUGACACUCGACCAUGAUUUGAGUCGUGGUUUGAGGAGAAAAUGUACUGAAAACAGGCAGUUAUCAACAUGAGCGAGGCAGGCUUUUAUGAACAGUUGUUUUACUUGUUUUUUUCCACAUAGAUCUUGAUUUUAUGUAGAUCUAUGUAGGGAAAAAUAAAUAAAACUACUAUUCAUAAAGGCCUGCCUCCCUCAUUCAACAUUGACACUCGAUCACUUGAGUCCUAGUUUG